Oncorhynchus keta (chum salmon) is the source of this 1882-nucleotide long non-coding RNA. RefSeq lists it as uncharacterized. NCBI's taxonomy places the organism in Eukaryota, Metazoa, Chordata, Actinopteri, Salmoniformes, Salmonidae. The record is from RefSeq and is a predicted model, not a curated record. The transcript has 2 exons.
UUCACAGAAGUGUGAUUGACUUGGAGUUACAUUGUGUUGUUUAAGUGUUGCCUUUAUUUUUUUGAGCAGUGUAUUUGCAGACACUUCAAACAGACAUACAGUGGCAAGAGAAAGUAUGUGCACCAUUUGGAAUUACCUGGAGUUCUGCAUAAAUUGCAACCGAGGACAAACAAUUUUUACGCGCUACAAGCUUCAGCACUCGCCGGUCUUCACAGCUGAGUUGUUGUUGCUCCUAGACUUUCCACUUCAUAAUAACAGUACUUACAGUUUAACCUUUAUUUAACUAGGCAAGUCAGUUAAGAACAAAUUCUUAUUUUCAAUGACGGCCUAGGAACAGUGGGUUAACUGUCUGUUCAGGGGCAGAACGACAGAUUUGUACCUUGUCAGCUCGGGGGUUUGAACUUGCAACCUUCUGGCUACUAAUCCAACGCUCUAACCACUAGGCUACCCUGCCGCAUGGCACUGUCAUAUGACAGUGCCAUGUUGAAAGUCAUUGAGCUGUCAUUCUACUGCCAAUGUUUGUCUAUGGAGAUUUCAUGGAUUUUUGAUCGAUUUUAUACACCUUGUGUCUAAAAUAGUCUAAUCCACUAAUUUGAAGGGGUGUCCACAUACUUUUGUAUAUAUAGUGUAUUUGACACAAGUCGACAUACAUAAACUACCGCACCACCAGAGGACCAGAGACGCCCAUGAAACAUAUCAAACUCCAGCCCAGGAACCAGUCCCAACAACCACUGUGGUCCAAGAACCUGUACCAACAGCCACUGUCACUAAGCAAGAGACCAGGCCUUACUGGAAGUGUGGGAUGAAUAAGCCUAACCAGGUGAGAACCAGAUUCAGCCCCCAGCUGUAAGACUGGCUCAGGACACACCCAGGAACUGCUUCCACCUUUGGUUCAGGAAACUGACCAUCCAGGUGGACAUCUUCCCUGUGCUGGUCCAGGAACAUCUGGAGCAGGAAACUCUGGAGCAGGAACCUUUGGCCCAUGAACCUCUGGCCUGGGUGGAAGCCUUCUUGAGGUUGCCUACUGAAGGCCUGCCUUCUUGAUUUUUUUUAUUUAUGAUCCCCAUUAGCUAAUGCUAUGAUGUCGAAAGGUCGCUGCUUUGAAUCCUCGAUCUGACAAGGUGGAAAAAUAUCAUACUAAAUGGAGUGUCCCAUUUUUACAUACAGAAUAAUACAAAAUGCUCUGAGACCAGGUUGCAGCCCCAGCUGUGAGUUUAUCAUUGGGAAGGCUCUCGCAUUCCUCUCAAAUUCCAUUCCCAACUCGAUGUUAAAUUACUUUACACCAAUCUAUUUGCAACGAUUGCCUUGGUCUAGUAAAUGUAAUUUGCCUGAUGAUGCGUGACUGGAGGAGUUUCAUACAAGCACAUUUUUGUCCACGUUCCCGCUCCUCACCACCUCCUCUAGAUUACCUUUGACCUUUUCAAAAAGGAAGCGUGAGAGGAUGCUGGAGUUGAACAAAUCCAAUUGAGAAAAGGCCACAGUGUGACGAUGAGUGAGUCAUUAUGCUGCUUUCAAGACAACUGGGAACCGGGGAAAAAACAAGGUCAAAUCAUGAUGUCAGUGAUCUUCAGGAUUGGCUGAUCCAUCCCGAUGAACCGGUUGGACAUGACUACAAAACAGGGUCCCCAGGAGGGAUAAACCAAUGAAGUUGGAAGUCCCACCCAGUUGCCUACAUUAAAAUGGUGGAAGACCUCAAUGGUGCUGCCCAUGCUAAUACAGCCUUUUGGCCACUAGAAAUCUCCACCAUUCUCUGUCUUGAACGCACUGAAGUCAGAGAUUUCCGAGUGCCCAGUUGUUUUGAACCCAGCAAAGGAUGAUGUCAGAGUUUCUGAUUGAUAUUUUAUUUCAGAAUGUAUUAAAAUGAGUUAUUCUUGAAAUCCCA